This is a long non-coding RNA of Sinocyclocheilus anshuiensis, 613 nucleotides long. RefSeq lists it as uncharacterized. The transcript has 4 exons. The record is from RefSeq and is a predicted model, not a curated record. Lineage: Eukaryota; Metazoa; Chordata; Actinopteri; Cypriniformes; Cyprinidae.
CGCACUAUCGCCAGGCAGACAGCCCGCUGUGCCUGCCGGAGAGGACAGAUCGCUGGCACCACACGGGCCCGACCAGCAUGCGUGGACGCCCGGAUAGUGAAAAGUAAGCAGUGGUGUGAGAUGUCCCCGUGUUCAGAGGGUGAGAUCUGCGGACUUCUCUUCAAUCGCUCCGGAUGGACCUGCACCAAAGGCGGCGGCCGCAUUAAAACCGUCACACCUCUGCCCAAGGAGCCAUCCUAAAGGACUUCAGAUUGCUGUGAGGAGGUUUGCUGACAUUCACAGGAGCAACGCCAAACAGGAAUCAUCCAUCAGCCCCCACACAUUUGUGUCCAUCCUCUCAUUUCAGAGCUAAAGAUAUCAGCUGCCCCUCUCCACGUCACCCUCAAACAGGAAAUGGAAUCCGUGCGCCAUGGUUGCAGUCAGUCAAGCGUCUCUACAGUUACAUGCAGGUCAUCGAGUCCCAGCAGACGCCAUCGUCUCACAGCUGGGGACACAAAACAUUUUCAAACCUUGACAUAAAAAACUGUUUAAGUUUUGAUCUCAAAAUACAUUAGCUAGGAGAACAUUUCACUCGCUUUCCAGUUAAACCGCCAGAGACUGUUCGCGUACCUUU